Molecule: long non-coding RNA, 3523 nt
Organism: Brassica napus (rape)
Lineage: Eukaryota; Viridiplantae; Streptophyta; Magnoliopsida; Brassicales; Brassicaceae
Exons: 4
Source: RefSeq, a predicted model, not a curated record
UGGAAACAUCACACUUUACAUCCUACUACUUUAGCCCAACCGUUAGAACGAAGAAGACCGCUCCUAGACGAUACGACGACGGAGGAGUUGCGCCUUCAUAUCUUGUUACAGACGUUCCUGACAUAUUUUGUCAGAUUGGAAGACUUGCUGGCAAAGUGAGAGAAGUUUGGUGGGAAGAUCAUGCACAUGCUCAUGCGGCUCACAUUUAUAUUAUGCGAAACAUUGACUACUUGCAGGAAUUUGAAAGGUAUAGUACUCAUACAAAUUGAACAUAUAUAAAUUGUAUUGAUUACUUUGGUUUUAUAUUUACAUAUAUGCCUAACAAAUAACAAUUCUUAGAUGCAGCAUAUUCAACUUACAAAUUCGAGAACACUAUCCUAAUUUAGAAGAAAAGGAUUAUGAGCACUUGAACGAACGAGAUUAUCCUGGGUGGUUAGAAUACUAUGUACAUACAAUCUUUAGACUUUUAAAAUUAAAAUGACUUAUUUUAAUAUUUAUAUAUUUUGAGCAGGUGAAAAAUGGAUGUCAUGACAAACCAAUUCCGCGAUGGUUGUAUGAAUUUGUUGACAAACCGGUUGCUAAGAUCACUACUGCUCCAAUGUACUUCACUCGUGGAUACACUUUUCAUACGUAUACACACGGUUCGAAGAGAUCAACCGCAAAUUUUGGAAUCCAACUCCAAGGUGAAACUGACUUCUACGGUGUAUUGCAACAGAUCAUAGAAGUCACUUACCCGGGAAGCAUCAACUUAAAAUGCGUAUUAUUUAAGUGUGAUUGGUAUGAUCCAACGAGUGGCCGAGGGGUCCGGAAAAAUAACCUUGGGGUCAUUGAUGUCAAUGCAAAUAGACGUUAUGCAAAAUUCGAACCAUAUUGCCUUGCAUCACAAGCAGAUCAAGUAUGUUUUCUUCCAUAUCCAAGGAUUAGAGAAAGGCGUGAAAGGUGGUUAUCAGUGAUUAAAGUGAAUCCGCGAGGGUGUAUAAUCGUCAGAGAAAUUGCCGAUGUCGCUAUGCAGGCCGAAAGAGUUGCUGAAAUGUCUGUCCCAACCGAAUCGACUGAGAAUAUUUUACACAUCGAUCCAGAUAACCAAGAAACAGAAGUCAUUGUUGAUGAUUCCACCGAAGGGUCUGUUUCAGAAGAAGACGAGUUUGAUGCUGAAACUGACGAAGAUGACAUCACAAAUGAUGAGGCUGAAAAUAGAGACAAUGAAAAUGUAUCUGAAAAUGAAUCCGAUUAGACAAAAUUUCACAUUUAUGCUCUAUUGUCUUGUAUUUGAAUUUUUUUUAAAAAAAAAAAUAUAACAAGAUGCGAUGGAAUUGCGACGAAAUUGCGACGAAAUUGCAAGAUUUCCUCGCAACUCCCUCUCAAAUUUGCGACGGAUUUGCAUGGUCAUCCUCGCAAUUCCGUCGCAACUCUUCGAACCACUAGCCAAAACCCUAAACGAAUCCCUAAAACACAGCCGUUGCAAUUCGCUCGCAAAUUUGCAAGGGAUUUGCAAGGGAUUGGCGUCGAAUAUUAGGUUAAUAUAUAAAGACAGUUAACCUUUCUGCUCCAUUACUCUCUGCCGUCAAAGAAAAAAAAAAUUCUAAAUCGUCCCUCCUCUCUGCGUAUCCUCCCCGGUCUCUUUCUCCCCGCAGCCUGACGUCUCCUGUCAAGUCUCGCCGGACUCUCCCGCCUCUCCUCUCCGCCGUAUCUCUCUCUCUGUGCCUCUCCUUUCGCAGCCCACGCCUCAGUCUCGCCGGACUCUCCCGCCUCUCCUCUCCGCCGUAUCUCUCUCUCUGUGCCUCUCCUUUCGCAGCCCUCGCCUCAGUCUCGCCGGACUCUCCCGCCUCUCCUCUCCGCCGUAUCUCUCUCUCUGUGCCUCUCCUUUCGCAGCCCACGCCUCAGUCUUGCCGGAGUCUCCCCCUCUCCUCACCACCGUAUCUCUCUCUCUGUGCCUCUCCUUUCGCAGCCCACGCCUCAGUCUUGGCGGAGUCUCCCCCUCUCCUCACCGCCGUGUCUCUCUCUCUGUGCCUCUCCUCUCCGAUGUCUCAGUCUCGCCGGAUUUCAUUCUCUCCACUCUCUCCUCGCCGAUCCACUUCGAUCUAGGUCUCCUUGCCGGAUCUCCUUCUCUCAACCCGUCUCUCGCCGGAUCUCUCUCCUCACGGUCGUCCUCAUCCGCCGUCAUACUCGCCGGACUUCCACCGUCAUUAUCUCGAACCGGCUCUGUCCCUUUUUAAAGGUUACAAAUUUUGGUCUAUAUUUAAGUUUAAUUAUCAGUUUAGGUUUUGAUUAUCAGUUUAGGUUAUCGAUUAGUGAUGAUUCUGUGUUUGGUUAGGGUUUUAACUAUUUAGGUUUGGUUAAUUUCUUGGCAGAUGUCAGGAAAUGAUUCUCUGUCCCUUUUGAAAGGUUACAAAUUUUGGUCUAUGUUUAAGUUUAAUUAUCAGUUUAGGUUUUGAUUAUCAGUUUAGGUUAUCGAUUUGUGAUGAUUCUGUGUUUGGUUAGGGUUUUAACUAUUUAGGUUUGGUUAAUUUCUUGGCAGAUGUCAGGAAAUGAUUAUAGCCGCUAUCUAUCUUCUGGUGGUAAGAAGACUUCUGGUGGUAAGAAGACUUCUGGUAGUACGAAAAGUUCAUCCCGUCAUACCAAUCCGGGUAGUUCUUCUAGUUCCUAGAUGGCCGAGAGUUUGACUGUUCCUAAUAGCCAGACGCAAGCUUCCCCUCCAGCUCCCGCCCCAGCUCCUCCAGCUCCCGCCCCAGCUCCUGCAGCUCCCGCCCCAGCUCCUGCAGCUCCCGCCCCAGACCCGGCGGCAGAUUUAGCGGCAAUCAAUAUGAUUUUGGCUAGUCCUGGACAUGAUCGUCUUCCUCACCUCCAUCCAGAUCGCCCUCCAAAUACGCUUUGGUUUGAUGACGAUGUAAGCGUUGCUGCAUCGGUCCGUCAAAUCUUUGAAAGAGAUUUCAAAGAACCGCAUGCUAAUUGGAAGCAAACCCCCGGGGAUGUUGUGAGACGUUGGUUUGAAUCCUUUGCGUAAAUGUAUCAUUGGGAUUCCGGUAUAACAUCCCUCGUUCGCAACUCUUUCGAGGCUAAAUUGAAACUCCAGUUGACUCGCCAAGUUAGUCGGUGGAAGAGUAACUGGCGGAAAAAAGGCGAUGCAGCUAUGCCUUUGUGGUUUGACCCAAAUGUUUGGGCUGGUCUUGUUGCUUAUUGGUUAGAUCCAGAAUCUGAAGUCCGGAGUUGUAACAGUCGGGCAGCUCGUUACUCUGACCCUGAUGGACAUGGACCGUCUAAGCAUCGUUCAGGUCAGACUUCCUUCAGGGCCCGUGCACGAGUGAUUGCUGAGCAAACUGGAUGUUCUAUUCCAGACUUGCUUGGGGUUCUCGAGAUCACUAAACGAAACCCGGAUGGUUCUUUUGUUGAUGGCAAAUCUGAGCAGCUCUACAACGAUGUGACAUCUAAAUUUCAGGAAUUAUCUAAGGCUGCUAGUGAUGAUCCCGAGAGCACUGGUUCUAGUGGCCUCUCUCCAAUGGAAAAGAGCAAGAUCUAUUGUGAG